UACGCCUUUGCACAGUGGUGCCUCUGGGAGUC
RNAcentral lists this non-coding RNA (32 nucleotides) under Rattus norvegicus (Norway rat). The record is from RNAcentral. Lineage: Eukaryota; Metazoa; Chordata; Mammalia; Rodentia; Muridae.